RNAcentral lists this long non-coding RNA (467 nucleotides) under Homo sapiens (human). RNAcentral describes it as "HSALNT0307722". Lineage: Eukaryota; Metazoa; Chordata; Mammalia; Primates; Hominidae. The record is from RNAcentral.
UUCACCAUGUUGGCCAGCCCGGUCUUGAACUCCGUCAGCCUCCCAAAGUGCUAGGAUUAACAGGCGUGAGCCGGCACGCCCGGCCUCCCCGCUGAAUCCUUUCUUCAUUUUAUCAUAAUCCUUCUAAAUACACUUUCGGGAACUUUAAAAGAUGCCUACCACCAUUUGUCUCUCAUGAAGAUGUGAACUGCGACUGGAAACAGCUCAGUCUCUCACAGGGAAAGCACAAUGACACAGAAGGAAAUAUAGAAGUCCCCAAAUUAGGAAUCUUGGAUUUUAGACCCAGUGUUCCCUUAACUGCUUAAAGUGUGACCUCAAGCCAUAUACUGACAUCAACACUUAGGAAGAAAUAGGACUGCAAUGAGGACAAAACCUGUUACAGGGAAAGGAAAUGAUAGAGGCCUGGAAAACAAAGCAAAUAACAAGAGUCAGAUGUUGAAGGAAUAGAGGGAAAUAUACUAAGAGGA